Cyprinus carpio (common carp) is the source of this 1228-nucleotide long non-coding RNA. Lineage: Eukaryota; Metazoa; Chordata; Actinopteri; Cypriniformes; Cyprinidae. The record is from Ensembl.
GUCUGUUUGGUGUCUCUUAUCGAGAGAAAUGGAGAGUUAUGAGCAGUUUUACAGCAGGACAAUGAGCGCGCUGCUGCCGCCCGCCUGCAGUACCUCACCGCGGCCGCAGAGGGCGCUGUCCGACAUUCACUUCCGCGGCAGGAGACUCUUACAGCCGGUGCUGAAGAAGGUGCAGAAGGAGCCGGACAGCGCAGAGACGCCCACAUCAGACUCCUCUCUGACUCUCGGGUCCAAAACGAGCCCGAUGCGCUCCAUCAGAACCAGCGCGAGGCCGAGUACAGCUCCAGCUCAGAAGCAGACGCUCAGCCCCAGCAGCUCUCUGAAGAGAGAGACCCUCCGCCUGCUCAACCAGCGCAUGGAGAAGCUGGCGUCUGACGCGUCCAGCGACGGCUCGGUCCCAGCAUCCCCUUAUUCCAGCCUCUGUCUCAGUCUGAUGGGCUCCUACGCCCAGUUACCCAGCCCUCAGCCCAGCCGCAGCCCACGAGCGAACGCAUGCGCCGGAAACAUCCUCAUCUCCAGCCCCGUCAGCGAGUCCGAGCUCAGCACCACUGGAUCUAACAACAAUGAGCAAGCUUUCACCGCAUCUUCACCGCCCUCUUCUGCUGCAGAAUGGAACUGCAGCGGUUCAGAGUUCAGUGAUAGACAGCUGUCAAUCAUUACCUCCACACCCAGCAGCACCAGCAGCUGGACAGGAAUGACCGGGUUCGAUGAAACACAAGAUGAGAGCGGUGAGAAACCCAGACCGGCCCGUCGCUCAGCCCCGGCGCCCCUCAACCGCUCCUAUGAUGUAGAAAACCCCUCGCCAUCUCUGAACAGACCACAUGUGGAUUCAGUCGGGCCGAACCCAAGCCGAUUAGACACAGAAGGACACUCACAGCGGCUCCUGGAUGACCAGGUGAACCUCAGACAGCUCACUGGAGGGGAGCAGCAGAUCCAGGCUCUGGAAGUGUUGCGUGAGCGUUUAGAGAGAGAACACGCUCCGCAGAUCUCGCGGGAGAGACAAACACAACACCCCCAGCAGGAGAUCCAGAGGAAGCUGAACGAACACAGCGGCCUGACGUCAACGAAACACACUUCACACACACAGGUGUGUCGCUCCGGCCAGGGCUUCUGAGGGCUUCAUGCUGCAAAAUACACUUUCUGCAACUGUGUUUUGCAUGAUAUUUUUGUCACUAGAUAAUUAGAUAAUUGUAAUAAACGUGAUUAUUCCCUUUGGUUAAGAACUGCU